This 162-nucleotide ribosomal RNA is filed under the name uncultured bacterium. Its description in RNAcentral is "partial 16S ribosomal RNA". It matches the Rfam family "Bacterial small subunit ribosomal RNA", at positions 393 to 539 of the family's 1533-position model. The record is from RNAcentral.
GACGCCGCGUGCGGGAGGAAGCCCUUCGGGGUGUAAACCGCUGUCAGGGGGACGAACCGCUUGCAGUCGAACAGGCUGUAGGUCUGACGGUACCCCCAGAGGAAGCGCCGGCUAACUCCGUGCCAGCAACCUCGGUGACUGAGCGGGCUGGCAAGGCGCAUA